RNAcentral lists this ribosomal RNA (253 nucleotides) under uncultured bacterium. RNAcentral describes it as "partial 16S ribosomal RNA". It matches the Rfam family "Bacterial small subunit ribosomal RNA", at positions 524 to 776 of the family's 1533-position model. The record is from RNAcentral.
GACGGAGGGGGCAAGCGUUAUCCGGAUUCACUGGGUUUAAAGGGUGCGUAGGCGGACAGGUAAGUCAGUGGUGAAAUCUCCGAGCUUAACUCGGAAACUGCCUUUGAUACUCUCUGUCUUGAAUAUGGUGGAGGUAAGCGGAAUAUGUCAUGUAGCGGUGAAAUGCUUAGAGAUGACAUAGAACACCUAUUGCGAAGGCAGCUUACUACGCCUAUAUUGACGCUGAGGCACGAAAGCGUGGGGAUCAAACAGG